Molecule: ribosomal RNA, 370 nt
Filed under: uncultured Bacillus sp.
Lineage: Bacteria; Bacillati; Bacillota; Bacilli; Caryophanales; Bacillaceae
Description: bacterial SSU rRNA
Rfam family: Bacterial small subunit ribosomal RNA
Source: RNAcentral
GGUGCAUUAGCUAGUUGGUGAGGUAACGGCUCACCAAGGGCCACGAUGCAUAGCCGACCUGAGAGGGUGAUCGGCCACACUGGGACUGAGACACGGCCCAGACUCCUACGGGAGGCAGCAGUAGGGAAUCUUCCGCAAUGGACGAAAGUCUGACGGAGCAACGCCGCGUGAGUGAUGAAGGCUUUCGGGUCGUAAAACUCUGUUGUUAGGGAAGAACAAGUAUGAGAGUAACUGCUCGUACCUUGACGGUACCUAACCAGAAAGCCACGGCUAACUACGUGCCAGCAGCCGCGGUAAUACGUAGGUGGCAAGCGUUAUCCGGAAUUAUUGGGCGUAAAGCGCGCGCAGGCGGUUUCUUAAGUCUGAUGUG